RNAcentral lists this ribosomal RNA (253 nucleotides) under uncultured bacterium. RNAcentral describes it as "partial 16S ribosomal RNA". It matches the Rfam family "Bacterial small subunit ribosomal RNA", at positions 524 to 776 of the family's 1533-position model. The record is from RNAcentral.
UACGUAUGGUGCAAGCGUUAUCCGGAUUUACUGGGUGUAAAGGGAGCGCAGGCGGCACGGCAAGCCUGAUGUGAAAGCCCGCGGCCCAACCGCGGGACUGCAUUGGGAACUACCGGGCUGGAGUGCCGGAGAGGUAGGCGGAAUUCCUAGUGUAGCGGUGAAAUGCGUAGAUAUUAGGAGGAACACCAGUGGCGAAGGCGGCCUACUGGACGGUGACUGACGCUGAGGCUCGAAAGCGUGGAGAGCAAACAGG